Molecule: unclassified non-coding RNA, 282 nt
Filed under: Hevea brasiliensis (rubber tree)
Lineage: Eukaryota; Viridiplantae; Streptophyta; Magnoliopsida; Malpighiales; Euphorbiaceae
Source: RNAcentral
AUUGCCUUCAAAAUUACUUAAACGAAUUGGAGCAGCAGGUAGAAGAUCAACUACCAGAAUAGUGCAAUUGCAUGCACAAGGAAAUCUUAGCACAAAUUGGAGAACCUCAAAAGAAAAUUGUUAAGAUGAGAGCCCAACACUGCUACCAGCUAGCAACAUUCCAAGCUCUCUUUCCUCCUCCUCAUCCUCAUGAAAAGAUAAAGACCCAUUAUUUUUUUCAAUCUUAAAUGAUCUGCAUAUAAUUAAUAAUACCCAUUAAAACGAUAAACACCAAUCCCAAUA